GGAUAAGUGGCUCAUCAGGUAAGAGCACUGGUUGCUCUUCCAGAGGACCUGGGUUUGAGUCCCAGCACCCA
RNAcentral lists this transfer RNA (71 nucleotides) under Neotoma lepida (desert woodrat). It matches the Rfam family "tRNA". From Rfam's summary of the family: Transfer RNA (tRNA) molecules are approximately 80 nucleotides in length. Their secondary structure includes four short double-helical elements and three loops (D, anti-codon, and T loops). The record is from Rfam by way of RNAcentral. Lineage: Eukaryota; Metazoa; Chordata; Mammalia; Rodentia; Cricetidae.